GGAAAUAAUAAGCUUUUAUAUUCAAAUAUUUCCAAGACUCAAUAUUUCUUUUGAGACUCAUAAAGGGAGAGGUUAGAUCGCCAUCCUCUAAGAUACUUUCUGAGAUUCUUGAAUUUCACUUCUACCCAGAGUUGCUGACUUUAUUUCCCAUUUGUCACUUUAGCAAGAGAUGCUUGUGGUAUCAUGUUUAAAACUUAUUACUUCUACAUUGUAUUUAAAAACUGAAUAAAUAUAACAUCCUGUUUCUCUUUCUUAAAGCCUCAGUGAAUGCCUUUGCAGAAAAUCAGAGCCACAAAAGAAACCUGGAAAGACCUUUUCUUCCUACACACUACGGAUUGCCAGUGAUUCAGCAAAAGGAGAGGCAGUUAGAGAAAAAUCAAGAAAAGAUGUGUCCACCUGCUACCCAUCUCUCACCUGUGGCUCUAAGAAGCUGUAGCAUCCAUAGACAGGAAACCAUCUCAGCAUAUAGUUUAAAUCAAGUUAAGAGUAACUUACAGGCCAUAAUCCUGUUGGUGGGGUAAAGGGAUGUCUACCCCCAAGCAUGCAAAGACUUCCUUCGGUGGAAUGGUCAGAUGAGGACAGUUUGUUCCAGUGACCAUGGAAGCAGCUGAACCAGGCACCGUUGAAGCAUUUGGAGCUUAGUCAGAUGUCAAAGAAGUCAAGGUCAUCCACUUCAUCCCAAGCCACUGCCAGUCAUCUUGACUUUUGUCUUGCCCCUGGACUUUGAUGACUCUGGAACAGAAAGCAAAGCUGACAACUUUGUACAACUAUGCUUCACUGAAAUCCAACUCAGGAGCAACUUAUAAACCAUUUGUGAUAUCAUUGGUCUUGUAAGCAAAGGACAAAUAAGAACUAUAUAUUUUUUGUAUGUACGGAUGCAUGCAUGAUUAAAGAAUCUCUAGUAUGUAGGAACA
This is a non-coding RNA of Monodelphis domestica (gray short-tailed opossum), 914 nucleotides long. Lineage: Eukaryota; Metazoa; Chordata; Mammalia; Didelphimorphia; Didelphidae. The record is from RefSeq and is a predicted model, not a curated record.